RNAcentral lists this ribosomal RNA (497 nucleotides) under uncultured bacterium. RNAcentral's name for it is "partial 16S ribosomal RNA". It matches the Rfam family "Bacterial small subunit ribosomal RNA", at positions 28 to 507 of the family's 1533-position model. The record is from RNAcentral.
GAUGAACGCUGGCGGCGUGCCUAAUACAUGCAAGUCGAGCGAACAGACGAGGGUCUUUCUCCUCUGACGUUAGCUGCGGACGGGUGAGGAACACGUGGAUAACCUACCUAUAAGACUGGGAUAACUUCGUGAAACCGGAUCUAAUACCGGAAAAUAAAUUAAACCGCAUGGUUCAAUAGUUAAAAACGGUUUUGCUGUCACUUAUAGAUGGAUCCACGCCGCAUUAGCUAGUUGGUAAGGUAACGGCUUACCAAGGCAACGAUGCGUAGCCGACCUGAGAGGGUGAUCGGCCACACUGGAACUGAGACACGGCCCAGACUCCUACGGGAGGCAGCAGUAGGGAAUCUUCCGCAAUGGGCGAAAGCUUGACGGAGCAACGCCGCGUGAGUGAUGAAGGUCUUCGGAUCGUAAAACUCUGUUAUAUGGGAAGAACAAAUGUGUAAGUAAAUAUGCACGUCUUGACGGUACCUAACCAGAAAGCGACGGCUAACUACGUG